RNAcentral lists this ribosomal RNA (254 nucleotides) under uncultured bacterium. Its description in RNAcentral is "partial 16S ribosomal RNA". It matches the Rfam family "Bacterial small subunit ribosomal RNA", at positions 524 to 776 of the family's 1533-position model. The record is from RNAcentral.
UACGUAGGGUGCGAGCGUUGUCCGGAAUUAUUGGGCGUAAAGAGCUCGUAGGCGGUGUGUCACGUCGGCCGUGAAAACCUGCAGCUUAACUGUGGGCGUGCGGUCGAUACGGGCAUCGCUGGAGUUCGGCAGGGGAGACUGGAAUUCCUGGUGUAGCGGUGAAAUGCGCUGAUAUCAGGAGGAACACCGGUGGCGAAGGCGGGUCUCUGGGCCGAUACUGACGCUGAGGAGCGAAAGCGUGGGGAGCAAACAGG